GACCCAGUGGCGGAUGGUUCGUGCCCGCGCUAUAUGUAAGACAUGAACAAUUCUGGAAGCGGGAACUCCUGGUUCAAAUCCGGGCUGGGUCA
Molecule: non-coding RNA, 92 nt
Organism: Mycena epipterygia
Lineage: Eukaryota; Fungi; Basidiomycota; Agaricomycetes; Agaricales; Mycenaceae
Source: the annotation of a GenBank genome assembly